CCUACGGGAGGCAGCAGUGGGGAAUAUUGCACAAUGGGGGAAACCCUGAUGCAGCAACGCCGCGUGAGUGAAGAAGUGUUUCGGCAUGUAAAGCUCUAUCAGCAGGGAAGAAGAUGACGGUACCUGAGUUAGAAGCCCCGGCCAACUUCGUGCCAGCAGCCGCGGUAAUACGUAGGGGGCAAGCGUUAUCCGGAUUUACUGGGUGUUAAGGGGGCGUAGACGGUGAGACAAGUCUGCAGUGAAAGCCCGGGGCUCAACCCCGGGACUGCUGUGGAAACUGCCGGACUGGAGUGCUGGAGAGGCAGGCGGAAGUCCUGGUGUAGCGGUGAAAUGCGUAGAUAUGAGGAAGAACACCAGUGGCGAAGGCGGCUUGCUGGACAGUAACUGACGUUGAGGCUCGAAAGCGUGGGGAGCAAACAGGAUUAGAUACCCUUGUAGUC
RNAcentral lists this ribosomal RNA (440 nucleotides) under uncultured bacterium. RNAcentral's name for it is "partial 16S ribosomal RNA". It matches the Rfam family "Bacterial small subunit ribosomal RNA", at positions 338 to 795 of the family's 1533-position model. The record is from RNAcentral.